Canis lupus familiaris (dog) is the source of this 82-nucleotide non-coding RNA. NCBI's taxonomy places the organism in Eukaryota, Metazoa, Chordata, Mammalia, Carnivora, Canidae. The record is from Rfam.
GCCUGGGUGGCUCAGUGGUUGAGCAUCUGCCUUCAGCUCAGGACAUGAUCCUGGGUCUGGGGAUCGAGUCCCACAUCAGGCU